RNAcentral lists this long non-coding RNA (5204 nucleotides) under Nicotiana tabacum (common tobacco). RNAcentral's name for it is "long non-coding RNA (NTAB_LNC002421)". Lineage: Eukaryota; Viridiplantae; Streptophyta; Magnoliopsida; Solanales; Solanaceae. The record is from RNAcentral.
ACACACAAAGGAGAUCUCUCAUUCUUAUUCCAGAAAAAGCUAAAGAACGAGCAGCCAUCUCCCUUGAAGAAAAAGGGCUCUCACUUUCAUUUCCAAAAGAAGCUAACGCCAACUCUCCAUCUCAAGAAAGAAAGGUCAGCAACACCCUACCAUAACACUUCAUCAUCCUCACCAAAGCCUCACUGCUUUUGGCCAUAGAAAACAGUUUCAAAAUAGCCAUUGAAACCACUCCAAAAUCAGCUGAUAAACAUCACAAGAUCCAUCGUCGAACAAGGUCCGUUUGAGCUUUUGUCGAGUCCCUGUUGCCGGCGUCGAGGUCCCAAUUCUUGUUCUGUGUUCACGUUACUGUUUUGGUUUGGGGAAGGUCAAGUUCGGUCCCUAGCUCGAUUGAAGAUCGUUGUUGUAGUAUUUCCGUUCCUCUGUAAUUGUUUGCAAUUUUGAAUUGACAAUGACUAUGAAAAGUAGAAAGCUACAGGUACUUGCACUUCUGCUGCCUUUUUCUUUUGCUCAUAGUGUCCUUUGAAUAUUAUAACAUAGUACUCUAUAGCCCAAUACCUAAGCUAUUAGCAUUACAUUACUCUUUAGCAUGUUAAAUUGUGCCUUCCUUCAUUUCUUGUUAAUACUGAUUUGUUAGGUGAAGAGAUUUGAAGAGCAUUUGUUCUAAUAACUGUUAAGUUUCUUUUUUAAACAUUUUAUUCUAAUGAUUUUAAUUUUUUUAUAAUUCAUGACCUUGCAACCAUCUCAAAUUAAUUUUAGGAUGAAUAAUUCAUAAAUCUUGUAGUUUGCUUUAGGCGCGAUUAAUAAAUCAUCGUGACUAUGGGUAUGGUUACCGUGGCAUGAUUACGAUACGUAAAUUCUAAUUUGGGUGUGCAUUUCAUGUGACCCAACCAUAACUUCAAACAUUAAUAAAAUAAACAUGUUGUAGAUCGCGAGUGCAUUUCAUGUGACGCCGUUUGCAAUGUGUACCAAAAUGACAAGUGUAUGAUAAUCGUGACUUUUUCUAGAAAUAAUUUCAUAAAUAAAUAAAAGUGGUAAUGGAGUUAAAAAUACACGACAAGGUUUUUAAACAUGUGAUUAAUCAGAUAAUUAUGCCUAUUAUUAAUAGUUGAGCAAUCAUGCUAAAACCACAGAACUCGGGAAUGUCUAACACCUUCUCUCGGAUUAACAGAAUUCCUUACCCAGAUUUUUGUGAUUCGCGGACUGUAAAACAGAGUCAAACUUCCUCUAUUCGGGAUUUUAAACCGGUGACUUGGGACACCAUAAAUUAUCCCAAGUGGUGACUCUAAAUUUGAAUAUAAAUAAUUCUGUUUCGAUUAUUGUCACUUUAAUUGGAAAAAGUCCCUAUCCCCUUCGGGAAAAAAGAGGUGUGACAACAUCUGCUGUUGUUUUUUGUUUUUAGAGGUACAUUUGAAGUUUUUCCUUUUUUUGUGUUUGUCAUUCAUCUUUUUGAGGUGUUGUGUCAUUACUUUGGUGUUGCUUUUCUUUUUGGUGUUCUGCAGCCUUUGUGUUGUCAAUUUGGUCUUCUCUCCCUUUCUUUGCUUUUUCCUGCUAUCUAUUAUUUUGGUGUUGUUUGCUUGUUUCUGCAUUUUUUGUGAUCUUUUACUGAUUAUUGGACUGUGAGAAUGUUGGUGCAGUUGCUUCUUCCUCCUUUCUCUUCCGAGCUUCAAAUUCUCUGAUCUUAAUUAGGCAUGCCUGAAGAUAGUGGCCCAGGUGUCUGUAGUGAGUAUAGUAGGAAGGAAUGUUAUCAUAUUGGACUUCAAGCCAUUGGCCAUCUCUAUUAACAUCUUGAUCCUCAUCAUAGCCUAACCAGACAUGGGUUGGCCUAUCCUUGGUGAGAUCAACCUACAUUUUUACCUUGACCACACUACCUCUAGAUUUUUGAAAAGAGGCAAGAUCCAAGAAAAGGACUUUCCCAAUUGGAGAUAACAAUGGAGUGAGUAUCUCCAUAUAAUAUAGGUGCCAAGGAAAUUUAGGGAUCAUGAUCUAGAUAGGAACAAUGUGGGAAUCUUCAUUUGGCUUGAAGAUAGGAUUCCAUGCUUCUAUUCUCGUCAAUUGACCCUGAAUGUACAUGUGUUGUUUGGACCAGACAAUAGAAUGAUCAUACUUAUUGUCAAGAUCAAUGUAAACUGUCUUUCCAUUGAAGUGGGCAAUUUUAACCCCCACCUCUUAGCAAUAAAGCUCCUUCUGAUGGUUUCCAUCUUUGGCAUUGUGUGUUGGAACUUACCAACAACUGUGAACUUACAUCUAUCAACAAAUUUGACCAUGUACUCCUCUCUUUUAAAGAUCACAUCAGCUUUACCUUUCUUGGUAGUGAUGACAGGAGAUGUAAUAUUGCAGGGGUGCAAUCUCAGCCUCAUGCUUGGCCCUCAAUCUAGUGACAUAAAAUUGGGUGACUGUUGGAGGUGGAGGGGGGAUGGAUUUUUUGGUGAUUUGGCUUUUGUGGAGUUAGUGAUUACUUGAGGGUUAUUAUUUGGAGCUGGUAUAGCCUGAAUGUUGGAUUGUAUCUAAGGUUGUACAGAAUUAACUAGGGUCUUAACAGAAGAAUUUUGAUUUUUCUUUGAAGUGUGUGGUCGAUCAAAGGUUGAUCAAAUUUUAAUAGGGAUUGCAGAGUAGGGGCAAUGGGUACCUGGGAUUGAUUCUGAGCAGCAGGAGUGUCUCUGCCAUUGUUGGCAGCCACCCGGGCUUCUAAUAGAAUUAAAGAACUGGGCGUAUCAUUAUUUUGGAUUGUUCCUGAUGCAAUUCUCAUACAAGGAGCUUCCUGAACACUUGUAGGAGCUUGAGGGAUUGCUUGCUCAUUAGUUUGAGCCACUUGGACUGUUGGUCCACCAUUGAUGACCACCUGCAUUUCUGAUGAAGAAGGCGAGACCUAAUCACCACUUUUUUGGAUUGAUUCUUGAAACGUUGAUUGAUGAUUAGGUUCCUUAUGAGCUUGAUAGGAUUGAGGAAUAACACAUUCCCUAAAUUGAUCAGUGGAAGUGGCUUGGGCAUUAUGUCGAGCACCUGAUGUGCUCAGCUAUGUAGAAGCUCCUUUUUGAAGAUUCGAGGAAUUUGGCUCAAUGGAUUGACGUUGUGGCAGCUUAGAAAUGUUCUCCACACCUGCAGAAACCAUUUUGCAUUGGUUUCUCCCACCUAUAGCUUCUUCUCCGGCCAACCUAUGCUCGCCGGAGAGUUGCAUGUGAACGGAGCUCUCAACUCCUACAGUGGAAUGCUCUGAAAAUUGGUAGUUAGACGUUUCUUGAGAUGGUGAACAAUCUCCACGGUUUAAAAUUCCACAAUUUUGCCCAGAUUUUAAUUGGGAAAUGUCAGAGGCUCCUAGGCAAUUUUUUGCUACAAGGAUUACACCACCAUUUGUAAGAUCUGUAGCAGUUGGGAAGAGUUGAGGGGGGCACCCACGUGUGGUUUGUGAGCAAAGUUAAGGCGCGUCUUUUGGGACUGGUCCGGUAGUUUUUCACCAUCAGAUGACGGAGUUAUGGUCAUUCUGGCGUGGCAGCAUCACUGUUCACGCGAAUCGCCUGUACAGAGAGAGAAUCGAAUUUUUGCGAUGGUGGGCUUUUUUAAUUAAUGGAUUCCAACAACAAUUAAACUUGAUUUAUGAUUUUAAAGAUAUGUGAUUUAGUUCAAUACCAAUUAAUAACCAAGAAAUCUGAAGUAUAAAUAAAGAAAAUAAGUGAAAUCAAACCAGUGUGCAAGCCAAUCUCGACCUCGAGUUAAGGUGGCCUCGAGGUGGAUCAAGAACAGUAAAGUAAGAAGAAUAAAGUUUAAAGGACAAUUCUGAUGAGCAAUGAGCCAGAAAGCGAGAGAGUAUGUUCUUUUGCCAAUGAUUGAUGAUGGUUACAAAUGAUUGGGGUCCCCUUUAUAUAAUAGGGGAACCCGAAGUAAGUUACAUUUCUAUUUACAAUAAAGAAUCUUAUUGGGAUAGCUGUAUAACCGACUAGUACGGAUUCGUACAAAUCUAUUCCGAAAUUUAUGCCACGAUCUUGUGGACGUAGCAGGAAUCUUGCUCAUUCUGUUACAAAUCCAAAACGGCAUUACCUUGAGGCCGGUCAAGUUUGGCCUCGACAUUCAUCGGUAACUUUGAUCUUCGAAAUUUGAACUCUGCCCUUAGCCUCGAACCUAGUGUACUUUGGACUUACUCUUGAAGUGGUUCCUCUAGCGCCCUAAAUCGAGCAUACUUGAUUUUGACCGUAUACAGAGUCGACUGAAAUCAGCUUCAGUCGACUAAAUUGUAAAUUUAGUACAAUACAAUCCUCACCUCUUGCGUUUCAUUACCUGUAUAUAAAAUUAUAAGCGACUAUGCAAGCGAUCAUGUGUAAGACGAUAAAAAAUUGCUUAUUUAGUUCGGGAUUAAGUAAUUAGGAUCCUCAAUUCUUGGAUCCUAAUUGUAAUAUAUAAUGUCCAGUUUUUCAUUUGGUCACUGAUGGAAGAGUUGCUACUUCUUCCUUGGUCCCCAUUUCUAAUGGUCGGUGAGUGUACUAAUUCAAUCGUACAAAGCCAGCCGGAAGAAUGUUUCUUAUUAUAGUUGAUGCUCUAGAAUUUCUUUAUGCUCUCAGAGGUUGUGAUUUAGCUGCAAGUGCAACAACCAAAUUAAACAAGGGCUUAUUUAGAGGAUUCUACUGAAGCAUGGCUCACUCUAAACAAGUAUGCCCUAGAAAUUCCUGCUAUGAUACUCAUAAAAGUGUUAGCAGGAGUAAUUAUAUUUGCUGUGUUUCUUUACUUCGAGGAAAAGAAUAUAAAUUUGCUAAUUUAGUGUUUCAAUUUCCUUGUGAAAGUGGGUUACAAGCAAGUUGCGGUUAUUUCCCUCUCAAUUGGUAGCUAGUAUCCAUAAUGUAGGUUUUCCAUGUUGGAAAGUUUAGUUUAAGAAAAAGAAUUUGUGAGAUGCAAGUAUUAGUGAUGAAAAAAAAAGAUGCAACUAUUAGCCUACCAUUUAUGAAAAUCUUUUCCAAAAGUAAAUUUUGUGAGGUAUUAUUUUCUUUAGAUAUUCUUUUGAGUUUAUUUGAACAUUAACACUAUUUUGUACUAUACUGGUUCUUAUUUAGCGGGUUGCUUAUCUUCUCUCAUGAAUACUGGUCUAAUUAGUCGAACCACCUAAAUUUUUAUUUCAAUUUGAUGUAUUUCUAUGUUGUCACUUGAGUUAUCAACAUAUAUUUAAUCCAAACAAGUUUGUAUGAUUAGCGUGAGUUGUAUCCCGGGUUCAUGAAUUUGAA